This 247-nucleotide ribosomal RNA is filed under the name uncultured bacterium. Its description in RNAcentral is "partial 16S ribosomal RNA". It matches the Rfam family "Bacterial small subunit ribosomal RNA", at positions 86 to 334 of the family's 1533-position model. The record is from RNAcentral.
AGAUGGCGACCGGCGCACGGGUGAGUAACGCGUAUCCAACCUGCCCUUUACUCGGGGAUAGCCUUUCGAAAGAAAGAUUAAUACCCGAUAGCAUAAUGAUUCCGCAUGGUUUCAUUAUUAAAGGAUUCCGGUAAAGGAUGGGGAUGCGUUCCAUUAGGUUGUUGGUGAGGUAACGGCUCACCAAGCCUUCGAUGGAUAGGGGUUCUGAGAGGAAGGUCCCCCACAUUGGAACUGAGACACGGUCCAA